This 984-nucleotide long non-coding RNA is filed under the name Chloebia gouldiae (Gouldian finch). RNAcentral's name for it is "Erythrura gouldiae (Gouldian finch) lncRNA (ENSEGOG00005011764.1)". The record is from RNAcentral. Lineage: Eukaryota; Metazoa; Chordata; Aves; Passeriformes; Passeridae.
UGUCCGUCUGUCCCUCCGUCCGUCCGUGUGCCCAGCCCCGUGUCCGUGUGUCCAUCCCCAUGUCCGUCUGUCCGUGUGCCCAGCCCCGUGUCCGUGUGUCCAUCCCCAUGUCCCCGUGUCCGUGUGUCCCUCCCUGUGUCCGUGCGUCCGUCUCCUCUGUGUGUCCGUCCGUCCGUGUGUCCAUCCCCAUGUCCGUCCGUCCAUCCGUCCGUCCGUGUGUCCAUCCCCGUGUCCCCGUGUCCAUCCCCUUGUCCGUCUGUCCGUCCGUCCGUGUGUCCGUGUGUCCAUCCCCAUGUCCGUGUGUCCAUCCCCGUGUCCGUCUGUCCGUCCGUCCGUGUGUCCGUGUGUCCAUCCCCAUGUCCGUGUGUCCAUCCCCGUGUCCGUCCGUCCGUCCGUGUGUCCAUCCCCGUGUCCGUCCGUCCCUCUGUCCGUGUGUCCAUCCCCGUGUCCGUCCGUCCCUCUGUCCGUGUGUCCAUCCCCGUGUCCGUCCGUCCGUCCGUCCGUCCGCGCUCCCCCCCGCGGCCCCGCCCCGGCCCCGCCCGGCCCCGCCCCGCCGGUUCUGCGGCUCCGAGCGGCGGCCGCGGCCUCUCCGGGGCCUCACCGGGGCCUCUCCGGGGCCUCACCGGGGCCUCUCCGGGGCCUCACCGGGGCGGCGGGUCCGGGGCUGCUCCGGGACCGCCGCACCCCGAGCCCGGCGGCCGCUCCCGGGGCCGUUCCGCGCCCGGGAUCCACCCCGGAUCCAAUCCGGGAUCCAUUCCCGGAUCCCGGCUCCAUCCCCGCAUCCCGGCUCCAUUCCCGGCUCCAUCCCCGCAUCCCGGCUCCAUCCCCGGCUCCAUCCCGGCUCCAUCCCCGCAUCCCGGCUCCAUCCCCGGCUCCAUCCCGGCUCCAUCCCCGCAUCCCGGUGUCCCCCCCCCGCCAUCCCGGUCCCCUCUCCCCUCUCCCGGUGCCAUCCCGGUGAUUCCCGACAUCCCCACCCCCCCCUCC